This 571-nucleotide ribosomal RNA is filed under the name Percolomonas cosmopolitus. RNAcentral's name for it is "partial Bacterial small subunit ribosomal RNA". Lineage: Eukaryota; Heterolobosea; Eutetramitea; Percolomonadida; Percolomonadidae. The record is from RNAcentral.
CAUUAGUGGCGACAAAAUUCUGUGCCAGCAGUCGCGGUAAGACAGCGGACGCAAGAGUUACUCUUUUUAGUUGAGUUUAUUACGUCAGAUAUAUGUCAGAAUUGAAGAAUGUAUAAAAAAUAUUUAGGAUAUUAUUUCAUUCUUAUGUUUUUGUUGAUAUUAUUUAGGAGUGCAAUUGAUCAAUUAUUUGGGUAGAACGAAAUUUAAUUUGGCGUGAGAAACCCCCAACAGAUAUGGUCAAACCAGUAGAGAAGUUGUUGUACUAUUUAUAAUAAGUAUAUUAUGACUAAAGUUAAAGGUGUUCUUCUGUAUCUUAUUAUGUUACGGAGGGAUACCUUUUGGAUAUCGACGUGGAUUAGAUACCCAUUUAGACCUAACAUUGACUUAUAUUUCUUUAAUGUAGUUGUUUGUUUAUUUUACAGUUAUGUGAAAACAUAAAAGAAAUUACUCGGGGACAAUGUUGGCAACAAUUCAACUCAAAGAAGUAGUCGGACAGUAGAACAUGCAACCAAUGGAGCAUCGUGAUUAAUUGAUUAAUCCGUCCUGAAUCUUACCAGGUUAUUAUAAAUAU